Molecule: ribosomal RNA, 493 nt
Filed under: uncultured bacterium
Lineage: Bacteria
Description: bacterial SSU rRNA
Rfam family: Bacterial small subunit ribosomal RNA
Source: RNAcentral
AAAGGAAUAGACGGGGGCCCGCACAAGCAGCGGAGCAUGUGGUUUAAUUCGACGCAACGCGAAGAACCUUACCAGGUCUUGACAUCGAUCUAAACCGUCAGAGAUGACGGGUCCCGCAAGGGGAGAGAAGACAGGUGGUGCAUGGUUGUCGUCAGCUCGUGUCGUGAGAUGUUGGGUUAAGUCCCGCAACGAGCGCAACCCUUGUAGUCAGUUACUAACGGGUAAAGCCGAGGACUCUGACAAGACUGCCGGGGACAACUCGGAGGAAGGUGGGGACGACGUCAAAUCAUCAUGCCCCUUAUGACCUGGGCUACACACGUGCUACAAUGGCCGCAACAAAGAGAGGCAAAACCGUAAGGUGGAGCGGAUCUCAAAAAGCGGUCUCAGUUCGGAUCGAGGGCUGCAACCCGCCCUCGUGAAGUCGGAGUUGCUAGUAAUCGCGAAUCAGCAUGUCGCGGUGAAUACGUUCCCGGGCCUUGUACACACCGCCCGU